GAUAGGAGUUGCUACUUAGUAGAAAUGCAUGUAUUCAUGUUUGUAUUAUCAUGCUCAUUUUGUUAAGAUCAUCUACCUAAUCAUCUCUAUUCUUUGUCAAUUGGUUAGCACUUGGUAAAGAUUAUAGGCUUUAAAUUUUAUAUCAUAUGUUAGAGUAGUAGUCAGAUACUAGAGCUUAUCAUUUCUUUGGAUUCUUGUGACAUCUACCGAUCUACCUAAGUUUUUUUAUGCUUGAUAUUUGUUAAUUAUCAUGAUUGUUAUUCUUUUGUAGUAUUAUUAUUGUUGGAUGUGCAGUUUACAAAUUCAAUGUUUUACAUUAAAUCAAUUUUUUUUUAUUAUUCUGACAAAAUUUUGCAGAGUAGCACUGACAAAGAGCUCAAAUCAGGUAGUAAUAACAAUUAUAACUACUAACCUUAAUUUCUAUUUUUAUGAAGUUUUUUUAUUUUUAUAUAAUGGAAGCUAAAUUGGUACAUGAUGAAUGUAGUAUUACUUAUUUUUUGAAAUUUUCAGUUAAAAAGAGAGGUCGUAGAUGAUACGGAGUAUCAAGGCUUUGAUGUGAUUGGAAGAUAAAUCUAAUUUGGUUUACUCUCGGUCUUUAAAUUUGGCUCAAACUUUUUUUGGUUUUUCUUUUAUUGAUUAGUCUUACUGUCCUAUAGAUAGUGUGGAAUUUAGAAAGGAUGUAAUAUUGUAACGUUGUUGCUGGGUUUUAGCAGACUUGAAAUUUAAUAAUUCAUUCAAAAUUUAUUAUAA
Long non-coding RNA from Chenopodium quinoa (quinoa), 750 nucleotides. RefSeq lists it as uncharacterized. The record is from RefSeq and is a predicted model, not a curated record. The transcript is spliced from 2 exons. Lineage: Eukaryota; Viridiplantae; Streptophyta; Magnoliopsida; Caryophyllales; Amaranthaceae.